RNAcentral lists this long non-coding RNA (1166 nucleotides) under Mus musculus (house mouse). RNAcentral describes it as "predicted gene 13848". Lineage: Eukaryota; Metazoa; Chordata; Mammalia; Rodentia; Muridae. The record is from RNAcentral.
UCUGCCUUGCAAUACACCCAGCCUGCUCCCGGUGCUGUUCCCCUGUCAUCUGCUCCCACCCUCCUCUAACCCUCUGCCUAGCCCCACAUCUGGAGCCACAUCUGGAUCUCAUCAUAACGGCCCUAGAACACCUACAAUACAAGACCUGGUCCUUGUCCGGUCUUCCUGGACCCCACUUGUCACCUGGUGAAGGGAUCCUGUGGUCUGAAAGAGGCUAUGUUCGAUGCUGACCUGUGACUCUGUAGAAGAUGGGAAAUUGUGUUGCAGAGACCUGAGAAAGCAACAGUCUCUCAGAGAAGGGAGGUCCCUCCCAGCGUAGCUGCAAAUCAGGCCCAAGGUUCCUCAGGACAGACCCUGCUGCAAGGCUGGAGCUCCAGUCACUGCUGUGUCACGUGCACUCCUGUGGAUUCCCCACAUGUGACCAACAGAAGAGGACAGAGCAUGGAGCAAGAGAGCAGAGGAGGUGGCGGGAGGCACCACUGGCGUGAAGAAAGAGUGUAUGCAGAUGGACUGAGAUGCAGCCAUGGAGGGGCGUGGCUAACCCUCUCAGAGGACAAUCCUGGGGUAAUUGACCACAUGACAGACAGUAGCCCUUCUGACCUUCUAAGCAAAAUGAUACCCUUAUCAUCGUUCAAUCAGAGGCUUGCUAAGUCGGCGCGGGGAGACGAGACUGCGACAACAAUCAUCGAUGCUUCCGGCAGCCCCUCGCGCCCGAUCCGAUGCACAGCACCGCCAUUAUCAACACAUGAAAGGCUUCCUCAAUUUCACUCUUGAUCAUCAUCAGCCACAACAGAUAUUUAUUGACUGGCUGUUGUGUGCAGGAAAUGUGGCCAGGUGCUGAGGAAGAAAAACUGGGCGAGAAAAUUCUCCAAGGAUUUUUGAAAAGGGGAAGAGAGGUACCAAUAAGCAAGCGAUCUGCCUCCAAAGUGUCCUGGGUGUAGAAAGAAGACAAACGCAGUAGCUUUGAUAAAGGAGGAUGGUCCGGACUGACAACGUAUACUUUCAGGUUGCUCCUCAUGUGAUUUUUGCCAAAUGCAAGAAAAUGAUACCAGCCUAGUUUCUCAACUAAAUGCUGAGUGGCUGUGGGGAGGAAACCCUGCCCAGAAUAUAUCUGUCUCUUCAAAUUUUUUCUUUGUUUUGUUUUAAUAAACAGUUUCAUGCAGCCU